This 260-nucleotide ribosomal RNA is filed under the name uncultured bacterium. Its description in RNAcentral is "partial 16S ribosomal RNA". It matches the Rfam family "Bacterial small subunit ribosomal RNA", at positions 337 to 614 of the family's 1533-position model. The record is from RNAcentral.
GCCUACGGGGGGCAGCAGUGGGGAAUAUUGCACAAUGGGGGAAACCCUGAUGCAGCAACGCCGCGUGAGUGAAGAAGUAUUUCGAUAUGUAAAGCUCUAUCAGCAGGGAAGAAGAUGACGGUACCUGAGUAAGAAGCCCCGGCUAACUACGUGCCAGCAGCCGCGGUAAUACGUAGGGGGCAAGCGUUAUCCGGAUUUACUGGGUGUAAAGGGAGCGUAGACGGCAUAGCAAGUCUGAAGUGAAAGCCCAAGGCUCAACC